UUCCAUAGCUCACAGUCCGGUGGAUACCAUUGCCCGAGCACAGUUUUGAGCACCGAUGCGUGGCUCAUUUACUGCUGCGGCAGGUAGGCCUGCUGGGGCGGAUAGGCCUGCUGGGGCGGGUAGCCCUGCUGCGGCGGGUAGCCCUGCUGCGGGGGGUACUGCUGGCCAGGCGGGUAAGGGUACGCUGCGGGGCAGAUUGGGUGAAGUGCACGAGAUGUUUGACAUAUGACCGGGAGACAUUGAUGACAUCUCUGCACAGCACAUGGUAACCACGGUACAAUACGCAAGGUACUAGGAUUGAGUCGCGCAGCAACAAGUCACCGGCAGCCGCAAACUUACGCGCAGGCACCGCCACCAUCUGCUGCUGGGGCGCAACGGCAGGUUGCUGCUUGUUGAGCUCAACGCCACCUACACGACAGUCAUACGCAUGUCAGCGCACAAUGUGCAUGAACUAUACGAGUGCCUGGAACUAGGCGCACGACAGCGCAGUAAUACAAGCCCCCCCUGCACCACCUAGUGCGCGGUCUGACCGCCGCUUACCGGGGCCCAGGCCACGGAUCUUGCACUCGCGGUACUCCUGGCACAUGGCGCACGGCGAGCACCAGCAGGUGAGGCAGCAGUCCGUGCAGCCGUCACCUGGAAUGAGCAAUGAAGAAGCGAAGUCAGCAAAUGCGGGUUGUGAAGUGCAUUGUGCUGGGAAGUCGACGUGUAACUUAUACUACAGGUAGCACAUGUUUGUCGAAAUUUCGCGCAGCCUGCGUUGUGGCAUGCCGUAGUCUACCAUGAGAAAGCACGACUGACCUGGGAUGCCGUACUUGGCGCGGAGCCAGCCGCGCGACAUCAUCUGAAAGCACGCACAUGGUAAACGAUGUAAGGAAAUCAAUGCGCAUGGAUGGGACCCGUGCCAUGAACAGACAACAAGUAUGUGACACCUCACCUGCAGGAUGCAGGGGCAUCCGAUGAACGUCAUCCCUACAUAACAACGGGAUGCAGUGUGACGGGUAAGAUGUUGUAUGACAAGUGUGCACUCCAGCAACACCCGCAGCAAGCUCAGAUAAUGCCAUCUCUCAUGUUUCUUUGAUAUGGCCACUGUGUAAAGCACGCAUGCGUAAAUUCAAACACAGGAUGGGCGUCAACGCACAGCGCCUAGUGACGAGGUACCCACCGCGGCCAUAUCCCCUGCUGGUGUCCUUGGUGACCGGUCACCACAACCACCACGCUCCUGUAACCCACCGAGGUAUGCGCAGCAAGCACCGACGCAGCUUCCACCGCAGCAGACGACGGGGGGCAUCAUCUCCACCGUUGUGCCAUACAUGCAACAGCCACUGUGGGUGGCGAACACGGCGUCACUUUCUCAGGGGACGCCCGCGGCCAUCACAACGGUGUGAUGCAGGCGCGACGUUACGACCGUACCGACUACACUUCGUUUAAUGCAAUCUGGGCCUCAACGCUACUCACCAGCACCAUGCGUACACUGCAGAGCGGUCCGCCCAAGCAGCCGGAGAAUAUUGCAGCAACAGGUAGGCAAGAUACAUGUCAGCACGGGCGUCGAAAAUGUGACGCGCGACUUAUACAUCGCGCAUGGAUUGGUUUGUGUAAUAUGUGCAGCAAUCACGUCGGGCGCAGCAACCGGCGUCUGUCUGCGUGCGAGCUGCGACCCCCCACCCGCUGACUCGCAACUCGCUAUGAUCAGAACGUCGUAGACCAGCGUACACACGCAGCCUAUGCAGGAGAACGGCGUUGACCUCUAUGCGCUGCAGCCCGCUCGUCAACAUGGCUGCCUCAUUGGGUGGGAAGUCCAUGUCAGGGCACCAGGACACAUACUCACGGCAAAUUCCGAAUCCGCCAGGCGGGGCACAGCAGUCGCAGAAGCCUGGAUGCGCAGGGCAAAGUUUGGGCGGUCAGCUCACCUGCCCAAGGACAACAAGGCACGCUAUUUGCAUCUAAUAGUUAAAUUGUGAGCAGCUUAAAGCAGGCGACAGAUCGCUGCCGGCACCCAAGCCGGUGAACGGGAAGGCCAGCGCGGAACUGGUCAGCGGCGAGCCACCUUCCUCACCUGUCGACCAGGAGCUCGGGGCAGCGGGAGGCAUCGCCAUUUUAGGAGAGCUUGCACUUACAAAACUGGCUGAAACGAGAGUUCAAAGGUCAGCGAGCUCGAAGGCGUCCCUAGCAGCUGGCAGGUGAAGGAUAUGCGUUUCGUCUAAGCUUAAAAGUUAGAAAAUAGAUAUUUCUACAAGCCGGCAAUGCACGCGCCACGGACAGUAUGAAAUUCAAGUUGGGUGCGCAUGCGAGCUCAUCUCGGCACCUGCGAACCUGCCGUGCUCUUGGUGGUCCAGACCAACUGGGCCGACUUGCUGGUAACGUACAACUUACAGCGCUUAUGGAGUGGUGCCAUCGUGGAUCACGAUUUCAUGGCUGUCGAGCACGGCUGUCGAGUGUCGCGCCCCCUCUAGGUGCCCGCAGCUACUUCGCGCAGCGCCUUCGCCGCACGGACAAGAUAUGUGGUUUCCCCUUGCAAGUGGGUUGAGCCCACGCCACGUCUCUAGUCUGAGGCCGCAAGCGUCUGCCUCAUCUCCCAGACAUAACUGGGUAAGGCUGGGGACUGGGGUCGGUUCGUACAGGCACGGCCCGCCAUGCGUCCAGCCACGUCCCGCUGUCAAGCACAAGCACAGCCAGCAACCAACCAAACAGCAGGAAAUCCUCUAGCCACAACACUCCGCACCGCUGCGGCCUACAACAUACUGUGCGGUGCUGUGCUUGCCAGCAAAGACCGCUAACCCGACAGAGAUUUGCCAUGGAGCGUUGCAUCAACCCGGGCGUGGCGGCAGGCGGGCGCACAGCAGCGGAGGGAGCGGCAACGAAGACGGUGACCCGUGACCAGCGUGGGCCCCGUGGCGGGCCGGGCCGGGCACCCGGGGACAAGGGCAUCGUGGGCGUUGAUCCCGGCAACUACCUGCUGGCCUGUGUCAGGUCAAUGCCAGGCUUCUCACCGCACAGCUACAGUGGCCGGCCACGAGCCGCGCACGUCUGGCGUGGCCCAGAUGGCCAGGCUCCUGGGCCUGCCCAGCCCCCACUGCAGCGACGGCGGAAGCGGUGGUGGCGACGGCAACAGCGGCGAUGGCAGCGGCAGCAGCGGCGGCAGCAGCGACGGCGUCGGCGGGGGCAGAAACGGAGGUGGCGGCACAAGGGGGGCGGGAGGUGGAAGGGCAAGAGGCGAGGGUGGCGGGGCACGCGCCUGCAGACGCAUCAGCGUGCCGUAACAGAACGGCGCCGCCAGCAGCGCGCCUGCUUUACCCGCCUGUCUGGCGCUGGCUACCGCCACUGCACAGGUCAGACAGGCCGUCGGCUGUGGCAGCAGGCACGGCUAGAUGAGCAGCCGGCGCUCAAGCGCUGUCAAGCGGGGAUACCCAGCGCGCGGGUGGCGUCGGCAGCUGAGCAUGAGCUGCGAAUACGCUACCUCUACUCUGGAGGUGGCGUGGACGCGGCGGCGGCUGCCGGGUCUGCGCCUGCGCCGGUGCAACCGUACGGGCUGUGGCACCUGCUCCGUUUCUACCGUCAGUGAGGCCAGCGGCGGUGGCGCCUGACUGUCCAUGUGCGGACGCAGAAGAUGGGGGUUGAGGGGAGGGGGCCAGCAGAUGCAUCCACACCAACUGUAUUGCGCUGACGCUACACCAAUGCCACGGGUACAGGUGCUGGAGCACACGGCGCAGCAGCUGGCUGGUGGAAGGCCCAAGGAGGAGGUCAUUGUUGGCUGGGGCAACGCCAACACUGGCUAUGGCGGUUGCAUCAGCAGGUUGGGGCGGGGCCCACACCGGGCACUGCUCCGCCUGCUGGUGGACAAAUACGCGCACCUGGUGGUGUACGUGGACGAGUUCUACACAUCACAGGCAAGAUGAGAGCAGACGGGUUGGAAUGAGUAGACAGGUGGUCGGGUGGACAGGAUGGGGCUCGUGUACAGGUGGCCGGGUAGCCAGCAAGGUUCACACUGUACUCCUCCCCUCCCUCCCCAGGUGUGUGCGAAGUGCGGGCGGCGCUUUCUCGGCGACGGGCAGCGCUGCCUGCAGGCGGUCGUACCAUAGGGGGGCUCACGUGCUCACCAAGUCCAAGUGUGCAACCACUGCGGGACGGUGUGGGUGAGUCUACUUUGCGGGCGGGCGGCUGGCUGGGUGAUGGCUGGGUGGCUGGGUGACGGCUCAGUGGGGCUCAGUGGGGCCCAGUGGGGCUCAGUCGUGGACUCAGUGGGGCUCAGUGGGGAUGACACGUGGAUGACACGGCUCAGUGGGUGAGGGCUCAGUGGGGCUCAGUGGGGCUCAGUCGUGGGCUCAGUGGGGCUCAGUGGGUGAUGGCUGGGUGACGGCUGGGUGAUGGCUCAGUCUUGGGCUCAGUGCGGACGCACUCACUCUACCCUUCCGACGGUGCAGGGACGUGACGUCAACUCCGCAACCAACAUCCGGCACACGCUGGUGGAGAUGCUGCUGGGGCACAAGCGACCUGCAUCGCUGCAGACUGGCGGCGGCGGCGGCGGCGGGGGCAGCGGCAGCGGCAGCGGCGGCGGCGGCGGCGGGCAGCAGCGGGGGCGCGUGCGCGCAAGUGGUAGCGGAGGGGGCGGGAAAGGCCACGUGGAGGAGGAGAGCGAAGCGCCGCCCAAGAAGCGGCGCAAGCGCGCAGGCUGAGGAGCCGGCUGGUGUCUAGGUAGCGGUCCGCGGUGGGGCUGGCAAGGCAUGUGUAGCGGCAUGAUAAGUAGUGCGGCUGUUGACAACUGUGCUGCGCCUGGCUACGGUUGGCUCUGCUGUGGCAUCGCCAGCGCUCGUAUCUUCCUUCGUUCGGAACGAAAUUUGCCACGAAAGGCCUCUGGCGGCCGAAAUUUUUUUGAUCUUGACUUGAAAUUUCGGGCCAAAACGCACGGGAUCUUGGGGGGACUUUCGGCCAACAGACGAAGACAUUUUUGGGAUUUCGGCCACUUUCGGCCGAAGGACAAGGGGGUUCCACCGGCUACUCCACGGCCGAAACCUGCUUGGCAUGUGGUGAGAAGACUCAGAGGGCUGUAUGCAUGUAUCUAUGGGUGUUGAGAGUGAGGUUGGGUCGGCGGGAAGCAGGGGAGGAGUGGACGUGUCGUGUCGGUGUUGACAUCUGAGAAUGUUCAUUAUCGGGCAUUCAUUACUUCACUGUUACAUUCCCGUGCAAAUGGCGUCCGCCGAGAUCGCUGACACCACCGCACACGAACCGUGCGGGUUGGGGGCGGAGCCCCCGGAAAAUUUUUGGGGGUGAACGAAGCGGCGCCAGCAGGGGUCGUAUCUUGUUUUUGGGGUAAUGUCUAGCUCCAGACAAAAACGGCCGGAUGGCCGCCGUCUUUUGUCUGGGCACAAGGCGGUUUGGGGGCUUCUCCGUAGGAAUUCGGACAAAACCCGCCCCAAACCCGGGCCAACAAAGUCUCACCCCAGACAUUAGCCCCCAGGAGGAAUGUCUAGGAAACGGCCAAAAUGGCCGAUUAAUGUCUGGAGACAUUAAGAUAGGAGCCCUGGGCGUGCCCAACCUCUGUGGGCAGGCCGCAACGCACGUCGGGCCGCCCCCGUUUCUUGCCGCUCCGUUUCUUGCCGCUCCUCACGUCGGGCCGCCCCGUUUCUUGCCGCUCCGUUUCUUGCCGUUCUUGCCGCUAGCCCUGACAUUGGCGAUGCGCUCGGCGAGCCUCGUGUCCGUAACUCAGAGGGCUGUAGCAGGCAGCGGUGAUGCUGGUGAUGCUACUGCCGUGGGUGGCGGUAGCAGGCCCUUGCUACUGGUCCGGCCGGCGGCGGUCCCCAACACGGCGCUUCGUUUCGACGGUGGACUGAUCGGACUCGGCGGCAGUGUUCACGGUGCCGGCGCGGCGGCGGCGGCGGCAAACGCCAGCGGCAGCGUUGCUACCAGCAGUCCCGCGCCGUCAAGCAUAUUGGCCAGCGGUUUUUGUAGCGGAGGCGGAUGCCGUGGCGGCGGCGCAGCCGCCUCGGCCAGCAGUUUUGGCCGAGGCACCGUUGAAGGAGAGAAUGCGCUGGGUGUUUCGGAGCCCAGGGCGCCAGCCUGUUUCGUCAACCAAACGAAGCCAUUUUGAGAAAUUCGGCCACUGACGCCGCCCCUGCCUUCGUAAGAUACGAGCGCUGGGCAUCGCGACUGCUAGAUAGGCACCUGGUUUGGCCAUGUGCCUGUGGAAACCAACCCCGGCUAUGUCCGGGCGAUGAGGUUGUUCGGCCUCAGACUGUGGAGGGGCUCAGCCCCUUUUCCCGUGACCGGGGAACACAUGUCCCUUGCGCGAUUUUGGACCGCUACUUGAUACGCGCCAGGCUAGACUCCAUUCGGUUGACACGGAGACGAUAGGGGGCUUCACUAUGUGCGUGCAGCAUGCAGCAUGUGUGCGGUCCGAACAUAACCACACCGUCGCAUCAGCCUGCAUCAGGUUAACUUCUUUGGUACACCCCGCAAGCUUGGCUGCAAGCUGGGCAGAACAUUAGCAGCCCCCACCACCGAGAUAUGCAGCCGUCUUACUGAAACGCUUGUAGGUUGCGACGGCCGUGUGUCGGGCCCGGGUCAGAGGAUGAAGCUGAAACAAACACAAUCACAUAACGGCAUCAAACUAUCAUCAACAGAUACCGUACUACCAAGUCCACGUCCGUUCCUGCUUCGUCCUAGAGGUUUCCUCUUGCCGUGUAUUAUAUGUAAGGCCACUAUUCGCCUACUUACAAAGAUCCACUUACGAAGCGAUGCGAACGCCAAGUUUAUUCCCGCAGCGUCGCUCCAUUUCUACGCCCCUUGCGCGAAACGGCAGAUCUACAGGGCUGUGCAUUCCAAACCAGCCUGCUCUGCGUCUGUCGCUGUCGCCGGUGCAUACUGCAUCCGCGCACACGCGUCCGGCAGCCGUCGCCCGUGCGUAGCCUUGCCCGGCACAACGUGCUGCCUGAAACCCUUGGAUGGCUUACUGCUUGUUGGCCGGCGCCGCGGGGUCCAUGGCCUGCGGCGGGGGCGGCCCGCCCAUGGCCACAGCGGAGCCCUUCUCCACACCGCCUGUUGGCAUUGUCAGUGAUCAGCAAGCGGAAACCCAUGAUCGUAAUUUGUUGACAUGCCGGAGGAAGGCUCAUCAAGUGUGCUGGCAGGUGGACACCAUGGAUCGUCCUGCAUGGAAACCCUUCCGGCGUGCCCCCAGUAGCGCGUGCCUAGUGAUAAGGGGACGAGGCGCCACGGAAUGCACCGCACUAGCCAGCCGGGCACCCAACCGAUUGAUGGAGACUGGGACCCCUAAUAAACACGUGCAGCAUCGCAUACCGUGCUGGAAGCAAUACUGGUUCGCGACCCAUCCUGGCGGCAUGGCGCGCACUGCUUCGUGCCUUUCCCCCCCUGGAGCAUGCUGACUACCCACCGGGACCCAGGCCGCGGAUGUGGCACUCGCGGUACUCCUGGCACAUGGUGCAGGGCGAGCACCAGCAGGUGAGGCAGC
RNAcentral lists this long non-coding RNA (7462 nucleotides) under Chlamydomonas reinhardtii. Its description in RNAcentral is "long non-coding RNA (CREI_LNC001378)". Lineage: Eukaryota; Viridiplantae; Chlorophyta; Chlorophyceae; Chlamydomonadales; Chlamydomonadaceae. The record is from RNAcentral.